GAAAUGCGAUAAGUAGUGUGAAUUGCAGAAUUCAGUGAAUCAUCGAAUCUUUGAACGCACAUUGCGCCCUUUGGUAUUCCAAAGGGCAUGCCUGUUCGAGCGUCAUUUGUACCCUCAAGCUUUGCUUGGUGUUGGGCGUCUUGUCUCUAGCUUUACUGGAGACUCGCCUUAAAGUAAUUGGCAGCCGGCCUACUGGUUUCGGAGCGCAGCACAAGUCGCACUCUCUAUCAGCAAAGGUCUAGCAUCCAUUAAGCCUUUUUUUCAACUUUUGACCUCGGAUCAGGUAGGGAUACCCGCUGAACUUAAGC
This 308-nucleotide unclassified non-coding RNA is filed under the name plant metagenome. RNAcentral's name for it is "partial contains 5.8S ribosomal RNA, internal transcribed spacer 2, and large subunit ribosomal RNA". The stretch from base 1 to 105 matches the Rfam family "5.8S ribosomal RNA", at positions 50 to 154 of the family's 154-position model. The record is from RNAcentral.